Molecule: transfer RNA, 65 nt
Filed under: Aspergillus cristatus
Lineage: Eukaryota; Fungi; Ascomycota; Eurotiomycetes; Eurotiales; Aspergillaceae
Rfam family: tRNA
About the family: Transfer RNA (tRNA) molecules are approximately 80 nucleotides in length. Their secondary structure includes four short double-helical elements and three loops (D, anti-codon, and T loops).
Source: Rfam by way of RNAcentral
UGGCCCAAUGGUAAGGCGCUUGACUACGAAUCAAGAGAUUGCAGGUUCGACCCCUGGACCCCUGC